GACGAACGCUGGCGGCGUGCUUAACACAUGCAAGUCGAACGGAAAGGCCCUGCUUUUGUGGGGUGCUCGAGUGGCGAACGGGUGAGUAACACGUGAGUAACCUGCCCUUGACUUUGGGAUAACUUCAGGAAACUGGGGCUAAUACCGGAUAGGAGCUCCUGCUGCAUGGUGGGGGUUGGAAAGUUUCGGCGGUUGGGGAUGGACUCGCGGCUUAUCAGCUUGUUGGUGGGGUAGUGGCUUACCAAGGCUUUGACGGGUAGCCGGCCUGAGAGGGUGACCGGCCACAUUGGGACUGAGAUACGGCCCAGACUCCUACGGGAGGCAGCAGUGGGGAAUAUUGCAAAAUGGGCGGAAGCCUGAUGCAGCAACGCCGCGUGCGGGAUGACGGACUUCGGGUUGUAAACCGCUUUCGCCUGUGACGAAGCGUGAGUGACGGUAAUGGGUAAAGAAGCACCGGCUAACUACGUG
This 468-nucleotide ribosomal RNA is filed under the name uncultured bacterium. RNAcentral describes it as "partial 16S ribosomal RNA". It matches the Rfam family "Bacterial small subunit ribosomal RNA", at positions 28 to 507 of the family's 1533-position model. The record is from RNAcentral.